Molecule: ribosomal RNA, 207 nt
Filed under: uncultured bacterium
Lineage: Bacteria
Description: partial 16S ribosomal RNA
Rfam family: Bacterial small subunit ribosomal RNA
Source: RNAcentral
UCUGUAGGUGGCUUCAAAAGUCUCCUGUCAAAGAUCAGGGCUUAACCCUGGGCCGGCAGGAGAAGCUCUGAGGCUAGAGUUUGGUAGGGGCAGAGGGAAUUCCCGGUGGAGCGGUGAAAUGCGUAGAGAUCGGGAGGAACACCAAAGGCGAAAGCACUCUGCUGGGCCACAACUGACACUGAGAGACGAAAGCGAGGGGAGUAAAAG